UACGUAUGGUGCAAGCGUUAAUCGGAAUUACUGGGCGUAAAGCGAGCGCAGGCGGUUAUGUAAGACAGGUGUGAAAUCCCCGGGCUUAACCUGGGAACUGCAUUUGAGACUGCAUGGCUAGAGUGCGUCAGAGGGGGGUGGAAUUCCACGUGUAGCAGUGAAAUGCGUAGAGAUGUGGAGGAACACCGAUGGCGAAGGCAGCCCCCUGGGAUGACACUGACGCUCAUGCUCGAAAGCGUGGGGAGCAAACAGG
RNAcentral lists this ribosomal RNA (253 nucleotides) under uncultured bacterium. Its description in RNAcentral is "partial 16S ribosomal RNA". It matches the Rfam family "Bacterial small subunit ribosomal RNA", at positions 524 to 776 of the family's 1533-position model. The record is from RNAcentral.